AGAACGAACGCUGGCGGCAUGCCUAACACAUGCAAGUCGAACGAACCCUUCGGGGUUAGUGGCGCACGGGUGCGUAACGCGUGGGAAUCUGCCCUUGGCUUCGGAAUAACAGUUAGAAAUGACUGCUAAUACCGGAUGAUGUCUUCGGACCAAAGAUUUAUCGGCCAGGGAUGAGCCCGCGUAGGAUUAGGUAGUUGGUGGGGUAAAGGCCUACCAAGCCGACGAUCCUUAGCUGGUCUGAGAGGAUGAUCAGCCACACUGGGACUGAGACACGGCCCAGACUCCUACGGGAGGCAGCAGUGGGGAAUAUUGGACAAUGGGCGCAAGCCUGAUCCAGCAAUGCCGCGUGAGUGAUGAAGGCCUUAGGCGUAAAGCUCUUUUACCAGGGAUGAUAAUGACAGUACCUGGAGAAUAAGCUCCGGCUAACUCCGCGCCAGCAGCCGC
RNAcentral lists this ribosomal RNA (444 nucleotides) under uncultured soil bacterium. Its description in RNAcentral is "bacterial SSU rRNA". It matches the Rfam family "Bacterial small subunit ribosomal RNA", at positions 26 to 518 of the family's 1533-position model. The record is from RNAcentral.